GGUAUGUUUCUUUGGUUUCAUUUUCCCAACAGACAAUAAGUUAUUUAAGCUUAUAUGUUUUUUGUUUAUCAUGAUAGGAAAUACCGUAUGAUUUUGCAACCUUAUUGUGGGGAGAACGAGUUCCAUAUGGUCAAUGUAUUGAAAUUAUUGAUGAUGACUUAUCAUGGGUAGUUAGACUUAAAAGAAAUGUUUCGGGACCUGUCUUAGGUGAUGGAUUCACCAAAUUCGUUGAAAAUUCUGGUCUCAAAAAGAAUGAUUAUCUAUUGGUCAAGGCUAUUGGAACAUCGACAUUUUAUGUUUCUGUAUUUAAAUCAUGCUUUUUCGAGAACUCCUUCAUCUCUAAGGUUGCUCCUGAUGAUACCUUUAUACUCCUGGCUGACAAAUUCUGGAAAGAUUUUUACGGGCAAAGGUUUAAAGGUGGAGAGGCAACUCUGUAUGUUGGAAAUAGGUAUUGGAAUGUUAAGAUGGAGGGAUGGCCCGACAGAAGUGCCUUCACUGAUGGUUUAUCUAAGCUGAUUGAUGAUCUUUUUUUUAGAUACCCGCUCUACUAUGUUGUUUACGAGUGUUGGAUAUAAAACUUUCGAGGUAUCUAUUUUUAAUCACUUAACAGGUACUGAAAUAUAUUUCAAGAAAGUUGAAGUUGUUGUUUUGGACGAUUCUGUUUAUGGAGAUGAAGGAUUUGAUUUAUUGACUGCGUCUAAACACAAGGAGAAGCAUGAGACUAACGAAAGUCAAGUUGAACAAGGUCUUUCUUGUGAUGGUGUUGGUGACUUUCAACUUCCAAAUUUUGAGUCUAUUUUUAAUAUAUGAUACUGACGACUCCAAGUUUGAUCGACAUAUAGCUGCUCAAAUUGAGAUGGAAGAUGCUAAGAACCUAGUAAGUGUAUAAGUUCAAAUUACUAACAGAUCUUAUUAUAUCUAUUAGAUACAUAUACUAUUUAAUUGUGCUACAAUUUUAUUUUAUGUAGUUCAAGGAUGGUUGGAAUACAAAGAAUGAUGCUUUGAAAAAUACUCCGUCUGUUACCUCUCAUGAAACGUGCUGGCAUUAAGGAGAGUGAUACGGUUCACUAUUCUUUUGAUGAAACUGGUCGAAUCUUGAAUGUUGAAUUGGUUGUACCUCACAUCAGGAGUACUGAUUAGUUCUUUUACAUUUAGGUUUGGAUAUUUGAUAUUUAUAUGACAUACAUUAACUUUUUAUUCUUAUUAGUUUUUAACAUGGUUAAUGGUUUUGAAUUUUAAGUUAUUACAUCUUAUCAUAUCUUAGUUUACUAUUAGUGUUCCUUUUAAUGGAUAACACAAUUUUGACAUUAUUCACUGUGCAAACUUUAGCGAUAAUUGUUUCGACUUCGAAUGCAGUUUUUGUUAUGAUAUCGAUUCAUAUAAUCAGGCACAAACAGUAUUAUCAUUUAUUCAUCCACCUU
Long non-coding RNA from Helianthus annuus (common sunflower), 1421 nucleotides. RefSeq lists it as uncharacterized. The transcript is spliced from 4 exons. The record is from RefSeq and is a predicted model, not a curated record. Lineage: Eukaryota; Viridiplantae; Streptophyta; Magnoliopsida; Asterales; Asteraceae.